RNAcentral lists this long non-coding RNA (563 nucleotides) under Mytilus galloprovincialis (Mediterranean mussel). The record is from RNAcentral. Lineage: Eukaryota; Metazoa; Mollusca; Bivalvia; Mytilida; Mytilidae.
CGCGUAGUCAGCUAUAAAAGGCCCCGAUAAGACAAUGUAAAACAAUUCAAACGAGAAAACUAACGGCCUUAUUUAUGUUUAAAAAAUGAACGAAAAACAAAUUUGUAACACUUGAACAAACGACAACCACUGAAUUACAGGCUCCUGACUUGGGACGGGCAUAUACAUAAAUAAUGUGGAAAUUAUAUAUACAGCCCUUGGAUGGUGUUAACUUUCCAAAAAAUUGUAUAGUGUACUGGUGUAAUGGUGUAAUGGUGUAAGGUGUAUGGUGCUGUGGUGUAUGGUGCUGUGGUGUAUGGUGUAAGGGGAAUGGUGUAAUGGUGUUUGAGGAAUGGUGUGAUUGUGUAACUAGCGAUCGGGAAUGGUGUGAAUGAUGGUGUACGACAUCUCAUUGGUUGAAACGAAUUUCUUUUUAUUUUAUUUUUUCGAGUUGUAAACAUACUCAAUAAUAAUAAUCUUAAUAUUUGAAAUUUAAUUGCAUUAUGGGUAAUUUCGGAUCGUGUAGAUAGAAUGGGGAAUGGUGCAUGGUGUAAUGUGUAAGGUGUAUGGUGCAAAGGUGUAAC